AUAUAUAUAAUUUCUAUAAAUUCACAGUACAUUUGCUAGCAAUCUGGAUACUAAGAUUUGCAGGUAACAAUUUUAGAGAAGUCUAGUAAUCAAUGGAUAGUGUAUUCCUUUUAGAAUGCACAUCAUUUGCUCUAAGGAGGAAAUGCCCAUAAAACUCUGAAUAUACAAUCUUUACCUUAGUGCCAUGUGUUUUAGCUGUACUACAUCUGUUUAACAGAGUACCACCAAAUGUAUAAUCUACUGCAUAUAUUGGCCACUUACAAUGCUGGAAAGAAACUUGGGCAGAAUGUUACUAAAAUCAGUUCUGGGGCAAAAUUCUAACAAUGAAACAAUGUUAGAGAGUCCAAUGGUCUCUAGUUUAAUUGUUACUUUAUGUAAUAUUGUUGCUGAAUUGUUCUCUCUAAAUAAUCACAAUUGUGCAUUACUGCAUGAAUAAGGACCUCCGUCUAGACCAUGUUCUGAAUUGUCUUAAAAACCUUUCAUGCACAAUCCCUAACAGUCACCCCCACUAAAGCCUCUGUCCUCCAGAGUCUCUUCCCCAUUUAAUGUCACUACAUGUAGUAGUCUCUUUAGCAACUGCCAGAAGACCGUUUUGGCAACUCUCAUUUCUGAACAUUUUCUAGUCGUGUUUCACAAAGUAGUUUGACGCUUUGGUGUAGCUAUACAAUGCAGGUAUAUCACUGAAAUACAAAAAAAGAUUGUGCCAAAGUCCUAAAACUUUAAGAUGGCUCCACCCACCCUUCAUCUCCUGCACACCAAUCUUUAACGUUUUUGGGGUUUGUUGGAUAUUUGAUAGGCACACUAAGAUAAAGAUCUGUUUCUGUAAUGAAAAUCCAAAUAAUAAUCUACUGUGCAUCAUUUAAAAAUGACAGAGGCUCAAAAAAAUAACCAAUGUUUUGACUCUUCCAACUUUUAUACUCUUGUAACUAAGGUAUAAAAUGACAAACAUGUACAUUUGUUACUUGCCACUUCUUUAUAAUGUGUUAUGUCAUGUUUGCAAAGUGCCUUAAAAUGUAAAUAACUGUAUAUUCUUGACGAGCAUCGUAAGGAUAGAAACAUGUCGAUGUUCAGUAAAAUUAUUCCUCUGUGUAUGUACUGUGUCUGUAAUUGUAGCGUUUUAGUUAGGCAUGAGCAGCUUAUUUAUACUAGGUAUGUAACAUUUACAUGCAUUAAUUUUGAAUUGUCAUUGUGUAAAUAUAUCGAUAUAUAUAUUUACACAAUAUAAAUUUAUAAUGUAAACUUGUGAUUACAAAAGCUCUGUUUUGGAACAUUUACUGUUAAACAGAAAUGUUUUGAAGUUGUAAACUCGUUGUUUUAUUGAUAGAAGUUGAUACACUAGUGACAUUACUAUCCAUGGAAAAAAAUAUUUAAAUGUCAUAAUUCCAUUUGAUCUCCUGCUAUGAACAACAAUGGCCAUGAAAAAAAACUUUUGGUUUUUUUUUUUUAAUUAAAAUUGUUAAAACAUCU
This is a non-coding RNA of Pelobates cultripes (western spadefoot toad), 1467 nucleotides long. Lineage: Eukaryota; Metazoa; Chordata; Amphibia; Anura; Pelobatidae. The record is from the annotation of a GenBank genome assembly.